Molecule: ribosomal RNA, 425 nt
Filed under: uncultured bacterium
Lineage: Bacteria
Description: bacterial SSU rRNA
Rfam family: Bacterial small subunit ribosomal RNA
Source: RNAcentral
GUGGGGAAUCUUGCGCAAUGGGCGAAAGCCUGACGCAGCCAUGCCGCGUGAAUGAUGAAGGUCUUAGGAUUGUAAAAUUCUUUCACCGGGGACGAUAAUGACGGUACCCGGAGAAGAAGCCCCGGCUAACUUCGUGCCAGCAGCCGCGGUAAUACGAAGGGGGCUAGCGUUGCUCGGAAUUACUGGGCGUAAAGGGCGCGUAGGCGGACAGUUAAGUUGGGGGUGAAAGCCCGGGGCUCAACCUCGGAACUGCCUUCAAUACUGGCUGUCUUGAGUAUGAGAGAGGUGUGUGGAACUCCGAGUGUAGAGGUGAAAUUCGUAGAUAUUCGGAAGAACACCAGUGGCGAAGGCGACACACUGGCUCAUUACUGACGCUGAGGCGCGAAAGCGUGGGGAGCAAACAGGAUUAGAUACCCUAGUAGUCC